Molecule: ribosomal RNA, 504 nt
Filed under: uncultured bacterium
Lineage: Bacteria
Description: partial 16S ribosomal RNA
Rfam family: Bacterial small subunit ribosomal RNA
Source: RNAcentral
AUUGAACGCUGGCGGCAGGCCUAACACAUGCAAGUCGAACGGUAGCACAGAGAGCUUGCCCUCGGGUGACGAGUGGCGGACGGGUGAGUAAUGUCUGGGAAACUGCCCGAUGGAGGGGGACAACUACUGGAAACGGUAGCUAAUACCGCAUAACGUCGCAAGACCAAAGUGGGGGACCUUCGGGCCUCACACCAUCGGAUGUGCCCAGAUGGGAUUAGCUAGUAGGUGGGAUAAUGGCUCACCUAGGCGACGAUCCCUAGCUGGUCUGAGAGGAUGACCAGCCACACUGGAACUGAGACACGGUCCAGACUCCUACGGGAGGCAGCAGUGGGGAAUAUUGCACAAUGGGCGCAAGCCUGAUGCAGCCAUGCCGCGUGUAUGAAGAAGGCCUUCGGGUUGUAAAGUACUUUCAGCGGGGAGGAAGGCGGUGAAGUUAAUAGCUUCACCGAUUGACGUUACCCGCAGAAGAAGCACCGGCUAACUCCGUGCCAGCCGCCGCCGUAA